AUUGAACGCUGGCGGCAUGCUUUACACAUGCAAGUCGAACGGCAGCGCGGGCUUCGGCCUGGCGGCGAGUGGCGAACGGGUGAGUAAUGCAUCGGAACGUGCCCAGUAGUGGGGGAUAGCCCGGCGAAAGCCGGAUUAAUACCGCAUACGACCUGAGGGUGAAAGCGGGGGACCGAAAGGCCCCGCGCUAUUGGACGGGCCGAUGUCGGAUUAGCUAGUUGGUGGGGUAAAGGCUUACCAGGGCGACGAUCCGUAGCUGGUCUGAGAGGACGACCAGCCACACUGGGACUGAGACACGGCCCAGACUCCUACGGGAGGCAGCAGUGGGGAAUUUUGGACAAUGGGGGCAACCCUGAUCCAGCCAUGCCGCGUGCGGGAAGAAGGCCUUCGGGUUGUAAACCGCUUUUGUUCGGGAAGAAAUCCUCUGGGCUAAUACCCCGGGGGGAUGACGGUACCGGAAGAAUAAGCACCGGCUAACUACGUG
RNAcentral lists this ribosomal RNA (484 nucleotides) under uncultured bacterium. Its description in RNAcentral is "partial 16S ribosomal RNA". It matches the Rfam family "Bacterial small subunit ribosomal RNA", at positions 28 to 507 of the family's 1533-position model. The record is from RNAcentral.